CAAGUCGAGCGGCAGCGCGGGGCAACCUGGCGGCGAGCGGCGAACGGGUGAGUAAUGCAUCGGAACAUGUCCAUGUCGUGGGGGAUAGCCCGGCGAAAGCCGGAUUAAUACCGCAUAAGCCCGAGAGGGGAAAGUGGGGGACCGCAAGGCCUCACGUGAUUGGGUUGGCCGAUGUCCGAUUAGCUAGUUGGCGGGGUAAUGGCCCACCAAGGCGAUGAUCGGUAGCUGGUCUGAGAGGAUGAUCAGCCACACUGGGACUGAGACACGGCCCAGACUCCUACGGGAGGCAGCAGUGGGGAAUUUUGGACAAUGGGGGCAACCCUGAUCCAGCCAUUCCGCGUGAGUGAAGAAGGCCUUCGGGUUGUAAAGCUCUUUUGUCCGGAACGAAACGGGUAGCGUGAAUAUCGCUGCCUACUGACGGUACCGGAAGAAUAAGCACCGGCUAACUACGUGCCAGCAGCCGCGGUAAUACGUAGGGUGCGAGCGUUAAUCGGAAUUACUGGGCGUAAAGCGUGCGCAGGCGGUUUUGUAAGCCAGAUGUGAAAUCCCCGGGCUUAACCUGGGAAUGGCAUUUGGGACUGCAAGGCUGGAGUGUGGCAGAGGAGACUGGAAUUCCUGGUGUAGCAGUGAAAUGCGUAGAUAUCAGGAGGAAUACCGAUGGCGAAGGCAGGUCUCUGGGCUGACACUGACGCUCAUGCACGAAAGCGUGGGGAGCAAACAGGAUUAGAUACCCUGGUAGUCCACGCCCUAAACGAUGUCGACUGGUUGUUGGGGGUUUGACACUCUCAGUAACGAAGCUAACGCGUGAAGUCGACCGCCUGGGGAGUACGGCCGCAAGGUUAAAACUCAAAGGAAUUGACGGGGACCC
RNAcentral lists this ribosomal RNA (868 nucleotides) under uncultured beta proteobacterium. RNAcentral describes it as "bacterial SSU rRNA". It matches the Rfam family "Bacterial small subunit ribosomal RNA", at positions 58 to 922 of the family's 1533-position model. The record is from RNAcentral. Lineage: Bacteria; Pseudomonadati; Pseudomonadota; Betaproteobacteria.